CCUACGGGUGGCAGCAGUGGGGAAUAUUGCACAAUGGGCGAAAGCCUGAUGCAGCAACGCCGCGUGAAGGAAGAAGGGUUUCGGCUCGUAAACUUCUAUCAACAGGGACGAAAGAAAUGACGGUACCUGAAUAAGAAGCCCCGGCUAACUACGUGCCAGCAGCCGCGGUAAUACGUAGGGGGCAAGCGUUAUCCGGAUUUAUUGGGUUUAAAGGGUGCGUAGGCGGAACAUUAAGUCAGCGGUAAAAUCGAGGGGCUCAACCCCUUUAAGCCGUUGAAACUGGUGAUCUUGAGUGGGCGAGAAGUAUGCGGAAUGCGUGGUGUAGCGGUGAAAUGCAUAGAUAUCACGCAGAACUCCGAUUGCGAAGGCAGCAUACCGGCGCCCGACUGACGCUGAGGCACGAAAGCGUGGGGAUCGAACAGGAUUAGAUACCCCAGUAGUC
This 442-nucleotide ribosomal RNA is filed under the name uncultured bacterium. RNAcentral describes it as "partial 16S ribosomal RNA". It matches the Rfam family "Bacterial small subunit ribosomal RNA", at positions 338 to 795 of the family's 1533-position model. The record is from RNAcentral.